UACGGGGGGGCAAGCGUUGUUCGGAAUUACUGGGCGUAAAGGGCUCGUAGGCGGCCAACUAAGUCGAACGUGAAAUCCCUCAGCUUAACUGGGGAACUGCGUCCGAUACUGAUUGGCUUGAAUCCGGAAGAGGGAUGCGGAAUUCCAGGUGUAGCGGUGAAAUGCGUAGAUAUCUGGAGGAACACCGGUGGCGAAGGCGGCAUCCUGGGUCGGUAUUGACGCUGAGGAGCGAAAGCCAGGGGAGCAAACGGG
RNAcentral lists this ribosomal RNA (252 nucleotides) under uncultured bacterium. RNAcentral's name for it is "partial 16S ribosomal RNA". It matches the Rfam family "Bacterial small subunit ribosomal RNA", at positions 524 to 776 of the family's 1533-position model. The record is from RNAcentral.